CUUGUGGUCGCACACCUACAUACGAAAAACAUAUAUGUACACAUAGAAUACUGAGUGAAAAGUUAAUUUUGAAAAAGCCUAACCACCAUAACAUUCAGACUUGAGACUCCCUUGCGAUUAAAAUACAGAUGUUUAUCUCUUGACGGUGCCAUUAUCUUUACCCUGUACUCAAGAAUGUUGAGUACUUCAUCUAAUACAACACAAAACGUCGAUUGGACCAUAUUUAUAUUGAAGUCCUUUCCAAUACAAUGUUGAUAACCUUGUCUUUUGUCAUUUCCAAAUUAAUUUUCGCAUUCCCCCAUGUUUAAAUGAG
Long non-coding RNA from Bactrocera neohumeralis, 313 nucleotides. RefSeq lists it as uncharacterized. The transcript is spliced from 2 exons. NCBI's taxonomy places the organism in Eukaryota, Metazoa, Arthropoda, Insecta, Diptera, Tephritidae. The record is from RefSeq and is a predicted model, not a curated record.